RNAcentral lists this ribosomal RNA (118 nucleotides) under Salmo salar (Atlantic salmon). The record is from RNAcentral. Lineage: Eukaryota; Metazoa; Chordata; Actinopteri; Salmoniformes; Salmonidae.
GCCUACGGCCAUAUCAGCCUGGGUACGCCCGAUCUCGUCUGAUCUCGGAAGCUAAGCAGGGUCGGGCCUGGUUAGUACUUGGAUGGGAGACCCCUGGGAAUACCAGGUGCUGUAAGCA